GCUGGGCGCAGUGGUGUUUCUGUAGUCCCAGCAACUCAGGAGGCUGAGGUGGGAGGAUCACUUGAGCCCAGGAGUUCUGGGCUGUAGUGCGCUAUGCUGAUCAGAUGUCCACACUAAGUUCAGCACCAAUAUGAUGACCUCCUGGGAGCAGGGGACCACCAGGUUGCCUAAGGAGGGGUGAACUGGCCCAGGUUGGAAACAGAGCAGGUCAAAACUCCCAUGCUGAGGUCGGGCCUGGUGGCUCACGCUUGUAAUCCAAGCACUUUGGAGGCCAAGAUGGGUGGAUCACCUGAGGUUGGGAGUUCAAGACCAGCCUAACCAACAUGGUGAAACCCCAUCUUAA
This is a non-coding RNA of Callithrix jacchus (white-tufted-ear marmoset), 343 nucleotides long. The record is from Rfam. NCBI's taxonomy places the organism in Eukaryota, Metazoa, Chordata, Mammalia, Primates, Cebidae.